This is a long non-coding RNA of Chenopodium quinoa (quinoa), 2309 nucleotides long. RefSeq lists it as uncharacterized. NCBI's taxonomy places the organism in Eukaryota, Viridiplantae, Streptophyta, Magnoliopsida, Caryophyllales, Amaranthaceae. The transcript is spliced from 5 exons. The record is from RefSeq and is a predicted model, not a curated record.
AAGAGGCAAAAAAAACCUCGUAUCAUUUUUCUUUAGUCUUGAUUGAUUUUAUUGAUAUUGUACAUCUGAUAUUGACAGUAUUAUUUGUAUGUUUUCAACAGUUCAUAGGGGUUGUUCAGCUUGAAAAUCUUGGUUAUAAUCUGAAGACACGUUUAUGCCAGGAGACAUACAUAUGCUAUGCUGCAAUUAUGUAUUGAAGUAGAUGAAAAUGCUUUUGGGGCAUGUGCAGAACUCUUAUUCGCUCCAAUAGAUGCAUCUUUCUCUGAUGAUGCUCCGCUCCUUCCAUCUGGUUUCCGAAUGAUUCCAACCGACUCUUCCAAGGAUGUUUCAAGUCCAAAAUGCAUUCUUGGCCUUACAUCUGCCCUCGAGGUUGGCGCUGCAGGAAAUAAAUCACUUGCUUAUAAUAGCAGGUCUGUAAGUGGGAAAUUGUGAUGACUGUAGCUUUUCAGUUUGCUUUGGAGAUUCAACUUCAGGAGAGUGUUGCUUCUAUGGCAUGAGCAUGACGAUAUGUUAAGGAGUAUAAUAUCCUCUGUUCAUAGUGUAGCAUCUGUGCUCUCCCCUUCUCGUUUUGGUUCUCUUAAUGGUUCACCUUCAUCUCCUGGAACUCUUGUAGCCUAAACAUUUGUCAAAGCUACAGGAUUUUAUCAUUUUUUGUUAAAAUCAAACUACCUGAAUCUGAUAACAUAGCUUGUGAAAUGUGACAUGCAAAUCUUCAACAAGUAACUGAUUAUAGUUAAUCUACAUUGACAGGUUCUAUCUAGGAGUUGAGUUGCUUAAACCCGGUAAGAGAGAGGGGAAUCCAUUCUCAAAUCUCUUUGGAGCCAUUCUGAUCCCAUUUUGUCCUACUCUUUGAAGGACUUGACAUCUAGAGACUACCUUAGUUGCACUGCAAGAAAUUACAUUGGACAUGAUUUUCAAUGAGCAGGGCCGGAAAAUGCUCUUCACAGAGCUGCCUCCAAUAACGCUGCAGGGUUUCAUUUAUGUACAAGGAGAUAUCUGAUUACUAGCAGCAUACUUUUGGAUAUCAUCCUAAUAUAGUAAACAAAUAUGUUGUUUGAUGUAUUUUCGUGGUUAGGGUGUAUUUGCUCUGUGUGUGUCUAAUUGGCUUAAGUUGAUUGAGUUGCUGAUUACUUUGCUGCAUGUGUGGCUAAUUGGCUUAAGUUGGCCGAGUUGCCGAUAAACAGUGUUAAUGCUUACCUGUCUAACCCUACUCAACUAUUUGCUGUAUGUAAUAUGUAUACGUCAUAUAUAUUUAAUAUUUUGCUGAUGUUUCUGCAUUUUUAAGGGUGAAUUUGCUGGAUUGGUUUCCAGGUCUAUGUGUGGAAUUGUGCUAGCUUUCUAGAUAAGGACAAUAUGGGUAUUGAGAAGUGGAAAUUAGGGAUUUGAAUUUCAUUUUAGGAGUCUACCUUGUUUUAGUGGCAGAACAAUAGGCCAGUAGCCAUUUCUAGGAUCAAUUGAAUGUUCCCACACCAUCAUUAACUAGUGUAUGAGAGGUAAGAAAAAGAGAUUAAGUUGAGAGAUUACUUUUUUGUUUAUACGCAAACUAGAGUGUAUCCGUGCAAAAUGCACGAGAUAUAUAAGAAAAAAAUUUAUUUAAAAUAUGGAAAGCUGAUUUUGAUGUUGUGAUUUAGACUUGAGCUAUGAUGGUUGAUUUUGGACUGGUCAGUUCUGUUGAACCCUAAUUAGCUCUGUUGUAUUGAGUAUUAAUAAUCGUAUUAAUAAUGUGUUGACACCUGUUGUGCUAUGCUGAAAUAUGAUAUUCUAUGCUUUUCUUAUAAGCUUAAAAAACAGGGUCUUACUCUUUUAUGUCAAUGGCCAUGCAAUGCUAUUAUGGGGUUUACUUUUUCAAAGUUAUAGAUCGAGGUUACUCGUUCAGUGUUAUAGGGGUUAUUCGUGUUACUCGGUUAGUGUCAUAUGAGUUAGUGUCUUGCUCUAGGGGUUACAUACUUUGUUCUGUUGCAAGUAGUUAUUUGCUGAGGCUAGUUGUACAUUUUUUUUUUUGAUGAUUUAAGAUGUGGAAAAUGUUUGGAGGGUAGUCUCUAAAAAAAUGCAUAUAAUUGAAAGGUUGGGAAUUUAGAGUACUAUAGUGAAUUAUUGAUAAAGGAAAUGUAUACUCGUGCUAAUGCAUGACAUAUAUUAUACUAUGUACCAAAAAAAAAAAAACUCAUAAAACAAAGUGAAAUGUUAGUACGUAGUGUUUUUAAAAAAAUGAAAUGUUGGGGAUUUUGAGUGCUAUAUUGAAAUGUUGAUAAAAGCAUUGUAUAAUUGUGCUAAUGCAUGUCAUAUGUUAUACUACGUACUAAAAAAAA